This 269-nucleotide ribosomal RNA is filed under the name uncultured prokaryote. Its description in RNAcentral is "partial 16S ribosomal RNA". It matches the Rfam family "Bacterial small subunit ribosomal RNA", at positions 524 to 792 of the family's 1533-position model. The record is from RNAcentral.
GACGAAGGUGGCGAGCGUUGUUCGGUGUCACUGGGCUUAAAGAGUAUGUAGGCGGAAGGGUAAGCGCCUUGUGAAAUCCCUCGGCUCAACCGAGGAAUUGCUUGGCGAACUGCUUUUCUUGAGGCAGGCAGGGGUGCAUGGAACUCUUGGUGGAGCGGUGGAAUGCGUAGAUAUCAAGAGGAACGCCGAUGGAGAAAUCAGUGCACUGGGCCUGUCCUGACGCUGAGAUACGAAAGCGUGGGGAGCGAACGGGAUUAGAUACCCUUGUA